RNAcentral lists this ribosomal RNA (493 nucleotides) under uncultured bacterium. RNAcentral describes it as "partial 16S ribosomal RNA". It matches the Rfam family "Bacterial small subunit ribosomal RNA", at positions 30 to 523 of the family's 1533-position model. The record is from RNAcentral.
AUUGAACGCUGGCGGCAUGCCUUACACAUGCAAGUCGAACGGUAACAGGUUAAGCUGACGAGUGGCGAACGGGUGAGUAAUAUAUCGGAACGUGCCCAGUCGUGGGGGAUAACGUAGCGAAAGCUACGCUAAUACCGCAUACGAUCUACGGAUGAAAGCGGGGGAUCGCAAGACCUCGCGCGAUCGGAGCGGCCGAUAUCAGAUUAGGUUGUUGGUGAGGUAAAAGCUCAACAAUCCUGGGAUCUGUAGCUGGUCUGAGAGGACGACCAGCCACACUGGAACUGCAACACGGUCCAGACUCCUACGGGAGGAAGCAGUGGGGAAUUUUGGACAAUGGACGCAAGUCUGAUCCAGCAAUGCCGCGUGCAGGACGAAGGCCUUCGGGUUGUAAACUGCUUUUGUACGGAACGAAACGGUGAGCUCUAAUACAGUUUGCUAAUGACGGUACCGUAAGAAUAAGCACCGGCUAACUACGUGCCAGCCGCCGCGGUAA